This 67-nucleotide transfer RNA is filed under the name Ognevia longipennis. RNAcentral's name for it is "tRNA-Gly". It matches the Rfam family "tRNA". Rfam says of the family: Transfer RNA (tRNA) molecules are approximately 80 nucleotides in length. Lineage: Eukaryota; Metazoa; Arthropoda; Insecta; Orthoptera; Acrididae. The record is from RNAcentral.
GUUAUUCUAGUAUAAAGAGUACAUUUGACUUCCAAUCAAAAAGCUUGACUUAUAAUCAAGAAUAACA